Molecule: long non-coding RNA, 384 nt
Organism: Tarenaya hassleriana
Lineage: Eukaryota; Viridiplantae; Streptophyta; Magnoliopsida; Brassicales; Cleomaceae
Exons: 3
Source: RefSeq, a predicted model, not a curated record
GUUACCUAUUGCAUUUGCAGAGAUACUUCCAGAACAUGUCAACCAAGCUAUAUCAGGAAUUAGUAACUUUUUCCGGGAAAUCUGUAGUCGGACAUUGAAAAAUGAAGACGUCCAGUUGAUGAAGCAAAAUAUUGUUCUAAUUUUGUGCAAUUUAGAGAAGAUAUUCCCACCAUCUUUUUUUGAUGUGAUGGAACAUCUGCCAGUUCAUCUGCCACGAGAAGCGGAACUCGGCGGUCCGGUUCAGUUUAGAUGGAUGUACCCGUUUGAGCGGUUUAUGUACCACUUGAAACAAAAAGCGAAACAAAAGGCGUUUGUUGAAGGAAGCAUUGCAGAGCAAUAUAUAAACGAAGAAAUAUCAUUCUUCACCUCGUAUUAUUUUGAAGA